CAAUAGCGUAUAUUUAAGUUGCUGCAGUUAAAAAGCUCGUAGUUGGAUUUCGGGUGGGAAUGGCCGGUCCGCCGUUUCGGUGUGCACUUGCUACGCCCACCUUGCUGCCGGGGACGUGCUCUUGAGUUCACGCUCGGGACACGGAGUCGGCGAGGUUACUUUGAGUAAAUUAGAGUGUUCAAAGCAGGCCUACGCUCUGAAUACAUUAGCAUGGAAUAACACGAUAGGACUCUGGCCUAUCUUGUUGGUCUGUAGGACCGGAGUAAUGAUUAAGAGGGACAGUCGGGGGCAUUCGUAUUUCAUUGUCAGAGGUGAAAUUCUUGGAUUUAUUAAAGACUAACUUAUGCGAAAGCAUUUGCCAAGGAUGUUUUCAUUGA
This 377-nucleotide ribosomal RNA is filed under the name uncultured eukaryote. Its description in RNAcentral is "partial 18S ribosomal RNA". It matches the Rfam family "Eukaryotic small subunit ribosomal RNA", at positions 592 to 976 of the family's 1831-position model. The record is from RNAcentral.